GAGAGUGCAGGCGCUGAGGACAGCGACGACCCCGAGAAGAGACCCAACGGCGAGAAAGGAGACAGCAAGUGAUCUCAUGUACUGCAAGAGGAUGGAUGCUGCAGUGAGCUCUCUGCAAGAUGCUAGAGAUUCCAAGCUGCUGGCUGUUCUCCAUAACAUAAAGCCAUCCUGCUAGAGAGGCUGCAGGAAGCAAGCGGGAAGGAGGUGCCAUUUUUUGGCCAGAGGUUGGAGCACCUUCUCAGGCGUCCUGGGAAACUGCAAAAGGGUGACGAGGAAGGUGCUGCAGGCCCCCAGGAGAGAAAUGGCAGCUGGAACCAAGAAGCAUCUAGAAUGGAUUCAAGCUCUGCUUCCCUUCAGAAUGAAACUGUCUGAGCUGCACUUCUGGGUUGGAUUGUUUUUGUUGAGCCAUCACCCACAUACACGUGGUUCGGGAUGCUUUUGACUGGUUGGCUUUCUUUAUUCUGUCUUUUCUGUUUCUUCUCUCAGCUUUGGAAAUUGUAAGAAAAGAAUUUGCUUUGAAAAAUAGGAUUCUGUGCUGAAAUUAGCCUUGUUUAUGAGCAAAUGCUUUCCCUGUAGGUUUUUUAAAUUACAAUCCCACGUGACCUAGUAAAUGGGGAUGUGUAGUGUGAAUUGUGUAGUACUGAUGCUUAGAUUAAAAAUACAUUUUCUCUCUCUCUCUCUUUUUAAGUUUGGAACCAGGUAAUGGCCCGAGUCACAUUUGCUUAGCUACUGAAGCGAUCUCAAUGUGGUUAUCGCUUAGAGUUGAAAUAUAAUCAAACAUACAUUAUACCUGGGGCUCUUGAACACUAUUUGAUAUGUAUGUUACACUACAAGAAACACAAACCUUGUAGGUUGAAAUUUAAUUUCUGUCUGAUCCUGCAUGAAGAAAUUAUAA
Long non-coding RNA from Loxodonta africana (African savanna elephant), 895 nucleotides. RefSeq lists it as uncharacterized. The transcript is spliced from 3 exons. The record is from RefSeq and is a predicted model, not a curated record. Lineage: Eukaryota; Metazoa; Chordata; Mammalia; Proboscidea; Elephantidae.